Molecule: long non-coding RNA, 524 nt
Filed under: Monodelphis domestica (gray short-tailed opossum)
Lineage: Eukaryota; Metazoa; Chordata; Mammalia; Didelphimorphia; Didelphidae
Description: lncRNA (ENSMODG00000040091.1)
Source: RNAcentral
AAUAAGCAAAGAAUAAACUUUUCAAAGCAUCACGUAUAGGUGUACAUCAGUCCUAUUAAAGGUUCCUUAAAGAGUCAUUAUUGCUUCACCUACUCUGGAAUCUAGCCUUUUUAGUCCAAAGGCUAGUCUUUGAGCUUAGCUUUAUUGAUUGCAUGGAUCCUGGAAGAUGUUAAGGAAGAGUGAAAUAAGAAUUUUAACUUUUCAAAACUGAACUGGAAAUUCAGGGACAAGGAAUUUCAGGUCUUAAUUUUCUUUUGUGGAUUCAUUCAGGUCCGGUUGUACCUACAUUGUAACUCCAGAGGCUAAGAAGCAGGAUGGUAGAAGAUAUGAUGUCCUGAUACAACUGCUGAAAUAUAUUUUUAAACAUAAUUUUAUUUGUUUUGUUAAAUUUCCCCAAAUACUUGUAAAUGUUUUAAGUAUUCUUUUUUUUAAAAUGUUGAGGCCAAAGUUCUCUUUCUUCCUUUUACACCUCCCUUGCCACUUGAGAAGGCAAGAAAUGUCAAUUACACAUGUGAAGUCAUAGA